GACGAACGCUGGCGGCGUGGCUUAACACAUGCAAUCGAACGAAGAGCGAUGGAAGCUUGCUUCUAUCAAUCUUAGUGGCGAACGGGUGAGUAACGCGUAAUCAACCUGCCCUUCAGAGGGGGACAACAGUUGGAAACGACUGCUAAUACCGCAUACGAUCUAAUCUCGGCAUCGAGGAUGGAUGAAAGGUGGCCUCUAUUUAUAAGCUAUCACUGAAGGAGGGGAUUGCGUUGAUUAGCUAGUUGGAGGGGUAACGGCCCACCAAGGCGAUGAUCAGUAGCCGGUCUGAGAGGAUGAACGGCCACAUUGGGACUGAGACACGGCCCAGACUCCUACGGGAGGCAGCAGUGGGGAAUCUUCCGCAAUGGACGAAAGUCUGACGGAGCAAACGCCCGCGUGAAGUGAUGGACGGGCCUUUCGGGGUGUAAAGCUUCUGGC
RNAcentral lists this ribosomal RNA (438 nucleotides) under Veillonella dispar. Its description in RNAcentral is "bacterial SSU rRNA". It matches the Rfam family "Bacterial small subunit ribosomal RNA", at positions 28 to 437 of the family's 1533-position model. The record is from RNAcentral. Lineage: Bacteria; Bacillati; Bacillota; Negativicutes; Veillonellales; Veillonellaceae.